GCCGGGUGUGGCGGCGUGCACCUCUAGUCCCAGCUACUGGGGAGGCUGAGGCAGGAGAAUUGCUUGCACCCGGGAGGUGGAGGUUGCAGUGAGCUGAGAUCGCACCACUGCACUCCAGCCUGGGUGACAGAGCGAUACUCUGUCUCAA
This 148-nucleotide non-coding RNA is filed under the name Homo sapiens (human). Lineage: Eukaryota; Metazoa; Chordata; Mammalia; Primates; Hominidae. The record is from Rfam by way of RNAcentral.